Molecule: RNA transcript, 800 nt
Organism: Drosophila eugracilis
Lineage: Eukaryota; Metazoa; Arthropoda; Insecta; Diptera; Drosophilidae
Exons: 3
Source: RefSeq, a predicted model, not a curated record
UUUGCAAGUUCCCUGCCAGCUGCCGACAAGUGUGAAGAUUAGGGGGGCUCCUGCCCCUACUCCAACUGCCCAAUGUGGAGUCCGCUGCUCACUUGUUUGCUGCUCCCAUGAUAUAAAUUGCACAGCUGAGCGGGCAGCAUAAUCGCAUGCAAUUAUGCCGCACACAAUCACAACGGGCCAACCAACGAACCAGCCAGCCAAACAACCAACCAGCCAGCCAGCUAGCAAGAAGUUUGCAAAACUCGCCGGGCAACUCGGCUCAACUCAAGUCAACUCAACUGGGCUGGAAGUGGAAGUGGCAGUGCCAACAAGCUGGCACUAACAGAGUUGCGGCAAAACACGAACUUGACUGCCGACACCCGUUCGAGUUCGAAACAGAAAUCGUUCUUUUAGCCGCGGAAUUAUGCUCUGGCUAGUGUCUGAUCUUGUGGCUGGAACAGCUAAGAUUGUGGCGGUACAUGCUGGGUUACCAAGUGUCUCAGCCCCAUAAAAGUGACUGGAAAUGAGUAGAUCAAGGUACGCCAGAAGAUAAAGAACGCUAUCCGCAACAAGCGCAUAUUUCAAUAAUGGCCAUCGAAAGCCAAGUCCUUGGAAUCGAGCACCCCUGAAGUUAUUAAAAGAUUUGUGGCGCUUAGAGGCAGAGGUCAAGGGGAACCACCCCGGAUGAAUGAAUCAGGAACUCAGGAACUCCCCCACUUUUCAAAUCCAUUGGCGAUAUUGGCCAGUCGGAUUCGGCACGCCUCUUUGGCAGCAUUUUGUUUGGGCGUGUUAAAAGUUAAAAUAAAUCAAACAGCCAUAAA